Molecule: RNA transcript, 3349 nt
Organism: Hydractinia symbiolongicarpus
Lineage: Eukaryota; Metazoa; Cnidaria; Hydrozoa; Anthoathecata; Hydractiniidae
Gene name: ectin-like
Exons: 8
Source: RefSeq, a predicted model, not a curated record
AGUGUUUUUCGUGUUUUGUUUUUGUUUUUGUUUUAAAUUCAUGUUAAUGAUUCAUAAAGAUGUCAUAUUGAUUAUGCGUGUAUUUAAGAAAGUUACUCCUGUGACGGUGUUUACAACAUGAAUAUUUAACUAAUCAUAAUUUAUUGAGCGAGUAUUCUUAAGCGUGAAUGUUCUUUCAACCAACUGCUUGAUAUAAUCUAACUCUACGUGUUUUCAUUAAUUCUCCUCAAGUAAAGAAGAUAGAAUUACGUUAGAAAACUAAGAUAUUUUUUUGCAAUGGCUUCACAAAUUUUGCAAGAAGAAGAACAACCAGAUGAUUUUUUACAGAAAACCAAGGAUAUUGAAAACGAAGAGAAAGUUUCAAACCCUAUUCGUUACAAGGACGAACCUGACAUUAGAUUGCGAGAUGAUGUAGAAUAUGUGGAGAAGAAGGUAACGAAGCAGAUUUACGCUGCUUAUGAUAGGGAUGCGUGCCUAUAUGCUCACAACAAAGCACGAAGUUUUCACAAAGUUCCGUCACUCACAUGGAGUGACGAUCUGGCCAAAGGUGCGAAAAAUUGGGCUGUUUACCUUCUCGAGAACGAUUACUUCGAGAAUAAAACCCAUUAUCCAGUAGGAGAGAAUUUGUACAUGAUGCCUUGGGGUGGUCGUUUUCAACGUGUCUACGAUGCUGUAUAUACACAAUAUUCGGAAGUUACAAAUUGCGACUUUAGUCAUCUGGAUCGUUAUUCUCACGAUGAUACAGCGUUUUUAGAAGUUGGAAACUUCUCACAAAUUGUUUGGAAGGAUACCAAACAAGUUGGGUCGGCCAUUGCGUAUGAUCCAAAAGCCAAAAAGACGGUGAUCGUGACCAGAUUCCGUCGAGGACAAACAUACGACUUUAAAGCUCAAGUUCUCCCACAAAAGAUUGAAGUAAACAAAGAAUCAGUUUCCGAAGUGGCGAAGAAAAAAGACCUAGACAAUAUGUGUUUGGUAAGGUUAGGCAGCCCAAUACGUCCUCUUUCUAUCACACGGGGAAAUGCUUUUCAUGGCAACCUAGCCCUCAACAGUUAUGGCGGUUCAACAGUUGGGCUACUUUUGCCCGAUUUUGCCCGGAUGUUUUUGGAACCAAUCUUUUGGUUGUUAAUUUUUUUGGGAUCGAAAGAAAAGAGUGUAUAGCAUCUAUAUGAAGGAAACAUGCCGUGCCAUCUUAGCCGUUGAUAGUCAAUGAGGUGUCAAAACCGUAUAAUCUUUUUUCGCAGUUUUGGGUGACGAUAUUACUAUACCAUUUAACGUCAAUAAUUGAUCGCCUGUGGGAUCGCCGUCUUUUUUUAGCCUGUCACAUAGGAGAAUUAGAAGCUCGGGUCAAAUCUUGUACGUAGCUAACCUUCCUUGCUUUCUAUUGUUUCCGAAAAACCAUUAGAACCAUGGACAUAUUUCUGUAGUGGUUUAGAUAACACUGUAGUAACAAAAUUAUCAUUGUUCUGGCCCUGCACAUAUUUCUGGACCACUAGUGACCCCAUCCCCACCGUUAACUUGCGAUUAUUAAGAAUAAGUCGUACUUCAUGGAAGUUUUCUGAACAAAAAUAGUUUAAGCGUCUGUUUAAUGCUAAAAUAAUGUUUAAUAGACUUAUGUAGUCUUCUUGCUUUUCAUCAUCCUUGUGCUCUUCUCACAAAAACGUCUUGAGAAUCGCAUGCUCUGUUAAACUACUAAUUGUGACAAUAAAUGGUAUUUAGAGAGUAUUGAUAUAUAGAGAAAGUGUUUAUAUUAUUAAGGAAAUGACUUAUGCUAGAACUAGAAAAAUUUUCCAAGAAACUAUUACUUUAUAUUACAUUUUCUUCUGGGCAAAAAAGGCAACUAAAAACGAAGAUAUUACAGUCGUAUGUAUGUAUUUAUUUGUCAUUGUUAUUCUUUGUAACUUUUUUAACCAACGCCGUUAUGCGUUGAUCUAUAGUUAUAUAUGUUAUAGACAAACAAAAAUUGCCAAAAAAGAACAAAAUAUUACACAAAAUAGUUUUAUUAAAGUUGAUAAACAACAAAAUAUUGUGCAAUUGUAUCGAAAUUGUAUUCAAAUUCAUAUUUGGUGUUAUUAAUGUUGAUAAACACCCGAAGAAAACACUAAAACAAAUAAAUGCUAUCAGCAACCAACAUUUUACACAUUUGACAGGCAAAUAAUUUACAACUACGUUGAAGAUAUUCAUCCUUUAUAAUUAUCUGAAUCGCUGGGAUACGUACUGCACAUUGAACUGUCCUUAUGGGUGUCAUAGUACCAACUACCCACUAACAUGAUCAGAUCCACGCUACAGAAUAUAGUAACUCCGUUUAAUCUGGACAGCUUUGCACAUUUUAUGAACUACGCACGCACUCAAACAUUCACUAGCGUUUUUAUUCGCAAACAUCCUUAUAGUGAUAGGAGAUAUCGGCGCCGUGUCUGUCAUUUCGUAAAACAUCGCGCUUUUUGCUGUGAGGAAGAGUGCGUAAAAUAUGUACACAAAAACAUAUCUUCUCCAGUAUUCUUGAUUUUCUGUUUGAACAGACACGGGUGUUGCUUUCCUAAAAUUUUAGUGAACACAACAUGAGUUGCAAUCAUUUGCACCUGAUUGAUUCUCAGAGCGUUAAAUAAUUAAUUGAGUCGUAAUAAUAGCUGCACCUCCCCGAUAAAUGGAUUUACUUUAGAUAGUAAUAAGCCAAACUCAACGAGGCUGAAAAUGUCGAGCCAGACUGCUUUUUUCUGCAGCAGGACACGUGCUCUGGUAGAUAUUGCGAGCAUUAAAGUAACACCAAAAGGCGUUGACAGCAUAUAAUAUUUCCUUUGUUGAUCUGACUUGAAUAUGAAUAUGGAUUUAGUUGCAAACCAAGAACAACAACGAUUAAAGUAUAGCAGUAGAAAAAUUAACAACAAAACAAGAGAAAUAUAACUUUAAUUAUAAUAACAUUCUUUAUCAAUGUUUAAUAUGGAUAAUAAUACAGAUAACAUAGAUUUAAUAACAAUCAAUAUAAAAAGGGUUGGAGGAGGAGGACACAAGUCCCUAGGUUCGCAAGCGAAAAUCAUUUCCAACCGGAGUAUUGCAGAUUAUUGUUAAAUACAUAUAACUCGCACUAUUGACAUCAAGAAAUGGACUUCGCCUAGCUCCGCAAUGAUAGUCUUCAGCAUUAUUAAGCUGGCAAAGGCUAUUUUAAUCAGAGAAUAAAGGUGUGGAAGGUGUUUUCGUCCCUAAAAAAGAAGCAUUUAUUCCGUCCCACGAUGUUCAGCCGACACUUGAACAGGUCGAGACGUAUUUCGUUUAAGAGUGAACAAACAAGAUGACUUUCAAUGAAUAUUUCUUUGUAGUGUUUUGUGUAUUUAUCUUGGGAGUAUGCUACAACAAA